CCUACGGGUGGCAGCAGUAGGGAAUAUUGCUCAAUGGGCGAAACCCUGAAGCAGCAACGUCGCGUGGAGGAUGAAGGUCCUCGGAUUGUAAACCCCCUUUGUUAGAGAAGAUAAUGACGGUAUCUAACGAAUAAGCACCGGCCAACUCCGUGCCAGCAGCCGCGGUAAUACGGCGGGUGCAAGCGUUACUCGGAAUCACUGGGCGUAAAGGGCGCGUAGGCGGGAUAGCAAGUCAGGUGGGAAAGUCUUUGGGUUAAACAUAAAAAUGCAGUUGAAACUGUUAUUCUAGAGUGGAGGAGAGGUAGGGGGAAUUCUUGGUGUAGGGGUGAAAUGCGUAGAGAACAAGAAGAA
This 351-nucleotide ribosomal RNA is filed under the name uncultured bacterium. Its description in RNAcentral is "partial 16S ribosomal RNA". It matches the Rfam family "Bacterial small subunit ribosomal RNA", at positions 338 to 706 of the family's 1533-position model. The record is from RNAcentral.